UGGGGAUUAGCUCAAAUGGUACAGUGCUCGCUUAGCAUGUGAGAGGUAGCGGGAUCGAUGCCGCAUCCUCCA
Molecule: transfer RNA, 72 nt
Filed under: Perca flavescens (yellow perch)
Lineage: Eukaryota; Metazoa; Chordata; Actinopteri; Perciformes; Percidae
Rfam family: tRNA
About the family: Transfer RNA (tRNA) molecules are approximately 80 nucleotides in length. Their secondary structure includes four short double-helical elements and three loops (D, anti-codon, and T loops). Further hydrogen bonds mediate the characteristic L-shaped molecular structure. tRNAs have two regions of fundamental functional importance: the anti-codon, which is responsible for specific mRNA codon recognition, and the 3' end, to which the tRNAs corresponding amino acid is attached (by aminoacyl-tRNA synthetases). tRNAs cope with the degeneracy of the genetic code in two manners: having more than one tRNA (with a specific anti-codon) for a particular amino acid; and 'wobble' base-pairing, i.e. permitting non-standard base-pairing at the 3rd anti-codon position.
Source: Rfam by way of RNAcentral